Molecule: ribosomal RNA, 79 nt
Filed under: Phyllosticta sp. TACP00K7041
Lineage: Eukaryota; Fungi; Ascomycota; Dothideomycetes; Botryosphaeriales; Phyllostictaceae
Description: 5.8S rRNA
Rfam family: 5.8S ribosomal RNA
About the family: 5.8S ribosomal RNA (5.8S rRNA) is a component of the large subunit of the eukaryotic ribosome. It is transcribed by RNA polymerase I as part of the 45S precursor that also contains 18S and 28S rRNA.
Source: RNAcentral
AAACUUUCAACAACGGAUCUCUUGGUUCUGGCAUCGAUGAAGAACGCAGCGAAAUGCGAUAAGUAAUGUGAAUUGCAGA